Cydia splendana is the source of this 164-nucleotide long non-coding RNA. RefSeq lists it as uncharacterized. The record is from RefSeq and is a predicted model, not a curated record. The transcript has 5 exons. Lineage: Eukaryota; Metazoa; Arthropoda; Insecta; Lepidoptera; Tortricidae.
GGAUUACACCGCUUUUCUUUCUGGAGUCAACAAGCAACUCAACGGCAAAAGACCAGUUCUCCUGUCAGGGGGUUCAAAAGAUAGACAGACUCUAAAAGAGGCACAAAAUAUUGCAUCAUCAGCCAAAAAGCUCUUCGCCAAGACCCAUAAAAAGCUGUCUGUGA